GGGUCAAACUGGGGGCUUGGAGGGUUCAGUUGGGGGUUUCCUGGAGGAACUACAAGGAAAGUGUCCGAAGCCUGGCGUGGACACAGCCCUGGUACGUCCGUGCUGAACACAUAUCUGGGGUCCACGAUGCCUUUCUAGGUUAAAGUGGGGGUGGGGGGAGAGGUUCAAGUACACAGGAUUAACCAACCCAUAAGGUCCGUUGUUGCUGUUCUUACAGUUUUCCUUCACGGCCUGCCUGUGGUGUGCGCUGAGCUCUGGUCUCACUGGAGAAGGGGGCAGGGAGGGACAGGCUCGGGUCUCCUGGGCGCCGCACCUUCUCAGGAAGACAGAGGCCAUGUAGUCCCAGGGUGGGCAAACUGAGGCCCAGAGAAGUAAAGUGAUUUGCUCAAGGUGAGUGGUGGAGCUGGAACUUGAACCUGGGCCGGAAUGAUCCCAGAACAUCUGGCAGCCACAACUUCAUAUGCACACUUGCUGGAAGCCUUGUUGGGGAAGCCCUGCCUAGACGGUGGUGAGACCCAGAUCUGCCCAUCUUUCGUGACAUCUCAGACUCUUUUCUGGAAGGCCCACCUGAUCAUCUUGUAGUCCUCCAGCAGCUGGGACAGCUGCCACGCAGAAGUAGCUCCCUCUCCUUCCCAGCGCCUGGCUCUGCCCUGCUCCGGCUCACCCUUCCCCGGGCAGUGAGUUCCAUGCCUCUCCUGGACCCCAAUUGUUUAUGAAUUCUCUAAAGUCAUGACAGGGAAUCCCACAGAUGCGUCCUGGACAACACAGGGAUGCCGAAGAUGUCCCAGGCAGAAAAGGUUCUGGGAGCAAACCAGGAUUUCCCAAACUGAGGUGGCUACAUAAUCAUCUUCCCUGUCCCUGCCGCAUACCUGUGAUAACAGGAGAACCAGUGACUGCGGAACACACUUUGGGAAAUUCUACCCCCAGCCUUCCACCCAAGUUUGCAGUUCAUCUUGCUUUCAUUGAUUUAAGCCUUUCCUGUUUCUUGGGGCUAAUCUCACAAACUAAUCUAAGGUGGUGUCUGCCCAGUAGGGUCUUCAAGAAACAUAUACUUGAUGGGAAUGAAGGUUUUCUUAAGACGUGAUGAUGUGAUGCCCAGAAUAGAUCAAGGAAUUUCUAGAAUGUGGGAGGAGGGGGAGUAGAAGUUGAAACAACAGCAGACAGCAUUCACCAAAUCUUUAUUUGUUCCCUAGUCAGAGGACCAAAGCCAGGGAUAGAAUGUAAUGGAGAAUAAUCAAACCAGACCUCGGUCACAGAUAAGUGUUUUUGAGUGAAUGAGUGAACAGACUUCCUGACUGGUCAGAAGGUUGGGAGACUGUGAAUGAAUGCCUGCGUGCAUGCAUGAAUGAAUGAAUGAAAAUCAAGCAGCUGGUCCCCAGCUUAGAACCUGCCACCCAUGAUCAAUGGAAGAAGCCAGAUAUAAAAAGAGGACACUAUGAAUGAUUCCAUUUAUGCGAAGGUCGGCAACAGAUCAGGCUACUCCACUAUGACAAGAACAGAGCUGUGGUUGCCUUUGGGGAGUAAGCAUUGCCUGGAAGGGGCACAAAAGGGCUUUUGGGGGAAUAGAAAUAGUCUUGAUCUUGAUUCCGGUGGUAGUUACACGAGUGUAUACUUGCAUCAAAAUUCACCAAAUCGUACAUUUAAGAUCUGUGCACUUACCUGUAUUGUACAUUUAAUCUAAAAAUAAAAAUCUUACCACUUAGGUCUCCCUGGCAAUAAUUCACUCCCUUGUCCAUCAUUUUCUCAAAGCACUUUGUCUACACAGGCAAGGAGAAGCCCAAGAAAGUGAUGUGGGGUGUAGUAAUAGUGACCAUCUCCUGGUGUUUUAAGGGAGGGUUCAGUGAGAGAAAGCACGUAAGCCUCUCAGCACGUGUAAGUUCUCAGUAAAUGUUUGUUGAGUUUAUUACUAUCAUUUUGCUAUUUUCAGUAGGAUUACAACUCCCUGCCUUCCCCCUGACCCCCACCCCCUUCAAACAAUUCUUUGGCCUGCUCUCAGCCUCUCCCUUUCUUCAGAGGGUGGGAGCGAGGACACUCUACCAG
This is a long non-coding RNA of Ursus thibetanus thibetanus, 2040 nucleotides long. The record is from Ensembl. NCBI's taxonomy places the organism in Eukaryota, Metazoa, Chordata, Mammalia, Carnivora, Ursidae.